AUCGAUGAAGAACGCAGCGAAAUGCGAUAAGUAAUGUGAAUUGCAGAAUUCAGUGAAUCAUCGAAUCUUUGAACGCACAUUGCGCCCAUUAGUAUUCUAGUGGGCAUGCCUGUUCGAGCGUCAUUUCAACCCUUAAGCCCCUGUUGCUUAGCGUUGGGAGCCUACAGCACUGUAGCUCCCCAAAGUUAGUGGCGGAGUCGGCUCACACUCUAGACGUAGUAAAUCUUUCACCUCGUCUGUAGUUGGACCGGUCCCCUGCCGUAAAACACCCAAACUUUUAAAAGGUUGACCUCGGAUCAGGUAGGAAUACCCGCUGAACUUAAGCAUAUCAAU
This 333-nucleotide ribosomal RNA is filed under the name fungal sp. RNAcentral describes it as "eukaryotic LSU rRNA". The stretch from base 1 to 123 matches the Rfam family "5.8S ribosomal RNA", at positions 32 to 154 of the family's 154-position model. Lineage: Eukaryota; Fungi. The record is from RNAcentral.